RNAcentral lists this ribosomal RNA (700 nucleotides) under uncultured bacterium. RNAcentral's name for it is "bacterial SSU rRNA". It matches the Rfam family "Bacterial small subunit ribosomal RNA", at positions 94 to 789 of the family's 1533-position model. The record is from RNAcentral.
AGCGGCGAACGGGUGAGUAAUGCAUCGGAACAUGUCCAUGUCGUGGGGGAUAGCCCGGCGAAAGCCGGAUUAAUACCGCAUACGCCCGAGAGGGGAAAGCAGGGGACCGCAAGGCCUUGCGCGAUUGGGUUGGCCGAUGUCCGAUUAGCUUGUUGGUGAGGUAAAGGCUUACCAAGGCGAUGAUCGGUAGCUGGUCUGAGAGGAUGAUCAGCCACACUGGGACUGAGACACGGCCCAGACUCCUACGGGAGGCAGCAGUGGGGAAUUUUGGACAAUGGGGGCAACCCUGAUCCAGCCAUUCCGCGUGAGUGAAGAAGGCCUUCGGGUUGUAAAGCUCUUUUGUCCGGAACGAAACGGUACGGGUGAAUAUCCCGUGCUACUGACGGUACCGGAAGAAUAAGCACCGGCUAACUACGUGCCAGCAGCCGCGGUAAUACGUAGGGUGCGAGCGUUAAUCGGAAUUACUGGGCGUAAAGCGUGCGCAGGCGGUUUUGUAAGCCAGACGUGAAAUCCCCGGGCUUAACCUGGGAAUGGCGUUUGGGACUGCAAGGCUUGAGUAUGGCAGAGGGGACUAGAAUUCCUGGUGUAGCAGUGAAAUGCGUAGAUAUCAGGAGGAAUACCGAUGGCGAAGGCAGGUCCCUGGGUUAAUACUGACGCUCAUGCACGAAAGCGUGGGGAGCAAACAGGAUUAGAUACCCUG